Molecule: ribosomal RNA, 386 nt
Filed under: uncultured bacterium
Lineage: Bacteria
Description: bacterial SSU rRNA
Rfam family: Bacterial small subunit ribosomal RNA
Source: RNAcentral
GACGAACGCUGGCGGCGUGCUUAACACAUGCAAGUCGAGCGGUAAGGCCCUUUCGGGGGUACACGAGCGGCGAACGGGUGAGUAACACGUGGGUGACCUGCCCUCAGCUCUGGGAUAAGCCUGGGAAACCGGGUCUAAUACUGGAUAUGACUCCAUGACGCAUGUUGUGGGGUGGAAAGCCUUGUGCGGCUGAGGAUGGGCCCGCGGCCUAUCAGCUUGUUGUGGGGUGANGGCCUACCAAGGCGACGACGGGUAGCCGGCCUGAGAGGCGACCGGCCACACUGGGACUGAGACACGGCCCAGACUCCUACGGGAGGCAGCAGUGGGGAAUCUUGCGCAAUGGGCGAAAGCCCUGACGCAGCGACGCCGCGUGAGGGAUGACGGCC